This 3981-nucleotide long non-coding RNA is filed under the name Homo sapiens (human). RNAcentral's name for it is "non-protein coding MIR646HG:35". Lineage: Eukaryota; Metazoa; Chordata; Mammalia; Primates; Hominidae. The record is from RNAcentral.
ACAUCCUCUUUAUGUCCUGAGAGCCAUGUGCAGAUGAGGAAAAAUGACAUGCAAUGCAUUUUUGCCUGCCACAAUGACUUUGCAAUCAUAACAAGCAAAAUGUUCUAAACAGUAAGUGAAUCGAGGAAGAUAUACUGCCAAGUCAGGAAGAAAAAAUCCACCUGUUCAGUGAUUUCAGGAACUGCUGAAGAAAAUCACCAGAAAAUCAUACUGGUAGCCUUCAAGUGGCCAUGGUGGGAGCAUUGACCCAGGGAAAUCCACAUUUCCCAACACAUGCUGGAUACCUGAGGACUCCAGAGCUACUAUCUGCUCAUAUCUGCUCAACAUUAAAAAAAAAAAAAAAACCUCACAUUGUUAAGUGAAAAGGUUUAUUGGCAGAUUUGCUUAACUCAAUUUGCAAAGAUACCUUAGACCAGGGGUCGGCAAACUACAUUCCACAGAACGAAGCUGCCCAUUACUUGUCUUUUGUUUGUUUGUUUGUUUUGUUUUGUUUUGUUUUGAGAUGAAGUCUCGCUCUUGUUGCCCGGGCUGGAGUGCAAUGGUGUGAUCUCAGCUCACUGCAACCUCAACCUCCCUGGUUCAAGCAAUUCCCCUGCCUGAGCCUCCCAAGUAGCUGGGAUUACAGGCACAUGCCACCAUGCCCAACUGAUGUUUUUGUAUUUUUAGUAGAGAUGGGGUUUCACCAUGUUGGCCAGACUGGUCUCGAACUCCUGACCUCAGGUGAUCCACUGCCUCAGCCUCCCAAAGUGCUGGGAUUACAGGCGUGAUCCUAAGUACAGUUUUAUAGGACAACCAUGCUCAUUCAUUUCCGUAUCGUCCACGGCUGCUCUACAGCAGCAGAGUUUAGUGGUCAGGACAGAACCGGCACAACCUGCACAACCUGCACAACUUUCAAAGGCUGAAUAUUUACUCUCCGGCUCUUUAGAGAAAGUUUGCAACUCCUACUUUAGACUGAUGCUUCUCCAAUGCUAACGCGCCAGUCACCAAAUCACCGGCAUCUGGUCCCAGCCUCCAACCAUAAACCACAGCUGAAUGGAAACUUGGUAGCGCUUGCCUUCAAUAGCAGAUGCUGUAAGAGGAAAGCAAGGUGACCAAGAAAACAUUGCAAAACUCUGGGCAGAAUCUGGGGCCUGAAGACUCUGAGUCAGAGGCCUCUUUUUUUGCUCUAAACACAUAUUAGCAAGAGUCCAAGAGGCAUCAAAGAUGAGUUAGCAGCAAAAUGAGGCUUUGUCCUUCAUGUAGAAAGGAUUAAAUGAUAGUUGAAAAUGCAAUAACUUUCACCCUGUGGGAUUCAGUGAUGUUCAGUGCUGUGAUUAUGUCCAACUUCAAAUCUUGCUGUCCCAACUGGGACAGCCCAAACAUAGGGAGCCACUGCACUAAGAUGUUAUGAUUUAUUAAGAUAAUAAAGCUAGCGGGAUGACAAAUGUUUCAUUUUUCCCCCAUGUGUUUCCCCCAAAGGACCGUCUGCUUUUGCAUGUGAUUUGACUAUGCGCUGAGGACCUAGCGUGGUAUAUCAGCAAAGUGGAAAAGUGACUGAAGUGACUGUUUAUCAUCUUGUACCAAGUUACACCACUUUAAGCUUUAACUCCACAGCUCUUGCAUUAUUUUAAAACCGUCUGGCAGAUCUCUAAAACUAAUGGUACAAACCACUCUGUGAUACAUUAAAAUACAUCCCACUCUGUCAUACUGCAAACAAGUAGCUGCUCCCCAGUCUUUGAAAAAGUACUUUCAAGAUAAAAUAUGUACUCAUGGGUUCUGCAGGUUUUUAAAAAGUCUUGAAUCUUCACAGAUUUACUGGGGGGGAAGGGGCGUUUCAUGUAAAAUGUGUUUUUCCUUGACAUUUAGAGGUCUUGCAAAGUGGUUUAUUAUAGAUCUUGUGGACAUCUCGCUAUUUAAUUAAAUUUCAGAAAUAUAUUCUCUGCACUCAUAAGAAGGAAUAUGAAGAGUGUAUUUGUUCACUGUCUAUUUAUUAUUCGUUUUCUGUUUCUAACACAAAAUUAUCAGUUCGAAAUAAGUCAUCAGAGGCACUUAAAAUUUUUCAGGGUCAGAACUCUAAUUAACCUCAGCAACUCUGCUUAAAAUGUUGAAUAAUAUAAGACAAGUCCUUACAGGAAUCUUUGGUAAUAUUCAGUCUUGGUGAUAUAUUUACAACUAUUUUUUAAAAACUGACCUUCAAUGUCUAUUUUCAAAAGACGUGAGGGAAUGGAAAGCAGAUUGAGAAACAAGUCACUUGUGAGGUCUCAUCCAACACAUUUCAGUAAAUUAUUGCUGGAUGUAAGCAGCUGAAUUUGUAAACGAUUUCAUUACCUUACAUUUUAUAGAGAAAAUUAAGAGUAAGUUCACAGUAAAUGAACCUCUAGUCUGAAAAUAGCUCUUUCUCCUCAUUUAAACCUGAAAUCAGAAGGAUACAACCCAAAUGUGUUCCACCCAACACAUUUUGAGAUAAAUACAUUUCACAAUUGUCUUAUUGGUGGAUUUGCUUAACACAAUUUGGGUAUUUGUUACCCUCUGAUGAAUUCAGAGGAGUUUUUCAGAGGAUAACAUUGCAUGUUUGCAAAAAGUUUGCAUGUUUGCAUGUUGCGUGCAAUAAGUUUGCAUGCUCACAAUAAGUUUGCGUGUCCUUUAGUGCUAUCUUUUAUUUUUCUGUUAGGGAUUCUAGUUUGCAGUAGAACAAUUUCCUCCUGCAGCCUCAUUCAAAGUACCAUCAGGAUUCAACCUGUUUCUCUCCAUGAGACUGUUUUGCUCCUAACUUAUCAGAAUAAGAGCUCACGAGAUCAGCAGCUGACGGAAAUUGUCGGAACAGGAGCUGCUGGCACCCGUGUAGAAAGCACAGAAAAUAUGAACAGUUGGAGGCCCCUCCAGGCAAGUCACCUGGGAAGGCUGGUGACAGGUGAGAGGAAUUGGCACAGCAGGUAGGAAGGUGGUGGGCAGGCAGGUAGGUGGGCACCUUACCCAUUAAGAGCUGGAAACCUUGGCCAGGCUCAGUGGCUCAUGCCUGUAAUUCCAGCACUCUGGGAGGCUGAGGUGGGCAGAUCACCUGAGGUCAGGUGUUCGAGACCAGCCUUACCAAGAUGGUGAAACCCCAUCUCUACUAAAAAUACAAAAAAUUAGCAGUGUGGUGGUGGGCGCCUGUAAUCCCAGCUACUUGGGCAGCUGAGGCAGGAGAAUGGCUUGAACCUGGGAGGCAGAGAUUGGAGUGAGCCGAGAUUUCACCAUUGCACUCCAGCCUGGGCAACCAGAGUGAAAUUCCAUCUCAAAAAAUAAUGAAUAAAUAAAUAGCUGGAAACCUUGAGGGGAGGCAAGACUGAGAAGGGAGAGCCCAGGGCAGACAUUAAUGUCCAGUGGGCUGACUGGGUAAGAAGUGAGGAAGUGGAAGCCAGAGCCCAGGGAAAGAGGGGAGGGAAAGUGCUGAUCCCGGGGCCACUGGGCACCAGGCUCGUGUUAGUUUCCUGUGUCUCCUGUAAAAAAUGACCGCAAGCUCAGUGGCAUCAAAGAGUGCGGAUUUAGUAUCUUACAGUUCCAGAAAUGGGAAGUGGGAAAUGGGCAUCCCUGGCUAGAAUCAAGGUGUUGUCAGAGCUGUGAUCCUCUUGGAGGCCCUGAAGGAGAAUCCGUUUCCUGGCGUCUCUGGCUCUGAGGGGCUGCCCACUUUCCUUGGGUCACAGCCCCACCCUCCAUUCCUAAAGCCCGCAACCCUGGGAAGAGACCUGCUGCUGCUGUCUUCCACUUAUAAGGACCCGUGACCACACUGGACGCCCCUAGACAGUCCAGGAUAUGCUCCUCAUCUCCAAAAUCAGCUUAACAAAUGGAAACCCUCCUGUAACCCUAAGCCCUCUGUUUCAUGUAUAGUGACAUAGCCACAAGAUGUGGUUGUUAGGCUCUAGGUAUCUUUGGAGCCAUUAUUCCAUCUUCUAUACACCAGUGCAGAACAAAGGCUUAUUACUCAUGGGGAAUUUGCAAGAUCUGGUACCAAACAGGAUGUGG